RNAcentral lists this long non-coding RNA (896 nucleotides) under Coturnix japonica (Japanese quail). RNAcentral describes it as "lncRNA (ENSCJPG00005012457.1)". Lineage: Eukaryota; Metazoa; Chordata; Aves; Galliformes; Phasianidae. The record is from RNAcentral.
AUGUUGCAUGUAUUUUUCAGGUAUCAUAAACAUGCACUUUGGCAAGUUUGGGAGUGUCUGCUUUUUCCGCUGCAGUUUUUGAGAUGCAACAGCUCCUGUCCAUUGGCAGGUGACUACUUCAUCAAGCCGACUUUUCACUGGGAUAGAAGAACCAGAAAAUGAACCUGGCACUAGAAGCUUGCAUUCUUUCCUCAGCUAGGAAAGUGAUGGGUCUCUCCAGAUCAAGAUUCACCAAAGGUAAGUAUUUACAGGAUUUUCCUACAGGGAAAAGGGCUGCUAGAGUGGACCAUUACUGGUGGAGUGAGUGGUAAAUUGAUAAGAUAUAAAAACAGGAUACAAAAAAGAAGGUUCUUCAGUGUGGUAUGAGUGAUAUGGUAGAUAGCAUAUUAAUGGUAAGUUUGACAGAUGAUAACGUACUGCAUAGUGCAACCUCUGAAGUAAAAAUGGGCACACAUUUCUCAAAAAAAUACAGAUAUUGUUCUGUGGUGUUGACAUCCUCCUAAUAGUCAUAUCUGUUCACAGAAGUCAUAUCUGAGAAGAGAAAAUAACAUUUUUGUUUUAUAUGACUUGACAUCUUCAGAAGACUCAACAGGGGAAGAUUUGGUAAUUCUAAAACUAACAGCAUUGUAUAAUUAAAGCACUAAGGAGGUGGAAAAGCUCAACUAUAUAAUGAUGAAUGACUUUCAGACAUUUGUGAUGACACAUCUGCGCUGCAGCCUUGAAAAACCGGAUUUUAUUACAGAUCGUUAUCAUUACUUCUGAGCUGCUUUUAGGAGAGCUCUUAUCUCCAGUGUUCUCCAGCCAGCUACUUGACAAAGCACCCCUCACAUACUGACUUUCAAGGUGCUUUGGCAAAUCAUAAUUGGCUAAUUUUGAAGUGUUUUUAUCAGUAUUUG